This 458-nucleotide ribosomal RNA is filed under the name Cutibacterium acnes. RNAcentral's name for it is "bacterial SSU rRNA". It matches the Rfam family "Bacterial small subunit ribosomal RNA", at positions 28 to 500 of the family's 1533-position model. Lineage: Bacteria; Bacillati; Actinomycetota; Actinomycetes; Propionibacteriales; Propionibacteriaceae. The record is from RNAcentral.
GACGAACGCUGCGGCGUGCUUAACACAUGCAAGUCGAACGGAAAGGCCCUGCUUUUGUGGGGUGCUCGAGUGGCGAACGGGUGAGUAACACGUGAGUAACCUGCCCUUGACUUUGGGAUAACUUCAGGAAACUGGGGCUAAUACCGGAUAGGAGCUCCUGCUGCAUGGUGGGGGUUGGAAAGUUUCGGCGGUUGGGGAUGGACUCGCGGCUUAUCAGCUUGUUGGUGGGGUAGUGGCUUACCAAGGCUUUGACGGGUAGCCGGCCUGAGAGGGUGACCGGCCGCAUUGGGACUGAGAUACGGCCCAGACUCCUACGGGAGACAGCAGUGGGGAAUAUUGCACAAUGGGCGGAAGCCUGAUGCAGCAACGCCGCGUGCGGGAUGACGGCUUCGGGUUGUAAACCGCUUUCGCCUGUGACGAAGCGUGAGUGACGGUAAGGGUAAAGAAGCACCGGCUAA